AUCUUCAGGGCAGGGUGAAAUUCCCGACCGGCGGUGAGCCUUUGGCAAGUCCGCGAACGCUGCACGCAGCGCCGAGCUGGUGAGAUUCCAGCACCGACAGUACAGUCUGGAUGGAAGAAGAU
This 122-nucleotide non-coding RNA is filed under the name human gut metagenome. RNAcentral describes it as "FMN riboswitch (RFN element)". It matches the Rfam family "FMN riboswitch aptamer (RFN element)". Rfam says of the family: The RFN element is a highly conserved domain that is found frequently in the 5'-untranslated regions of prokaryotic mRNAs that encode for flavin mononucleotide (FMN) biosynthesis and transport proteins. This element is a metabolite-dependent riboswitch that directly binds FMN in the absence of proteins. In Bacillus subtilis, the riboswitch most likely controls gene expression by causing premature transcription termination within the 5' untranslated region of the ribDEAHT operon and precluding access to the ribosome-binding site of ypaA mRNA. RNAcentral also lists the same sequence under 1 other name. The record is from RNAcentral.